GUGCCACUUGGGCAGCACAUAUACUAAAAUUAGAACGAUACAGAGAAGAUUAGCACGAUCCCUGUGCAAGGAUGACACACAAAUUCAUGAAGCAUUCCAUAUUUUG
Non-coding RNA from Pteropus alecto (black flying fox), 106 nucleotides. Lineage: Eukaryota; Metazoa; Chordata; Mammalia; Chiroptera; Pteropodidae. The record is from Rfam.